RNAcentral lists this ribosomal RNA (463 nucleotides) under uncultured bacterium. Its description in RNAcentral is "SSU rRNA". It matches the Rfam family "Bacterial small subunit ribosomal RNA", at positions 26 to 518 of the family's 1533-position model. The record is from RNAcentral.
AGAGCGAACGCUGGCGGCAGGCCUAAUACAUGCAAGUCGAACGAAGCCUUCGGGCUUAGUGGCGGACGGGUGAGUAACACGUGGGAACGUACCCUUUGGUUCGGAACAACUCAGGGAAACUUGAGCUAAUACCGAAUGUGCCCCCAUCCUUAAAAAAAGAUGGGUGGGAAAGAUUUAUCGCCAUUGGAGCGGCCCGCGUCUGAUUAGCUAGUUGGUGAGGUAAAGGCCCACCAAGGCUACGAUCAGUAGCUGGUCUGAGAGGAUGAUCAGCCACACUGGGACUGAGACACGGCCCAGACUCCUACGGGAGGCAGCAGUAGGGAAUCUUGCGCAAUGGGCGAAAGCCUGACGCAGCCAUGCCGCGUGAAUGAUGAAGGUCUUAGGAUUGUAAAAUUCUUUCAGCGGGACGAUAAUGACGGUACCCGCAGAAGAACGCCCGGCUAACGUUCGCGCCAGCAGCCGC